Molecule: RNA transcript, 1385 nt
Organism: Helianthus annuus (common sunflower)
Lineage: Eukaryota; Viridiplantae; Streptophyta; Magnoliopsida; Asterales; Asteraceae
Exons: 6
Source: RefSeq, a predicted model, not a curated record
ACACGUAUUUGGCAUUUCAUCAACAGUUGCCACGCAUAAAAAGACUCACUAAAAAACCACCGCCCCUUCUCCAUCUUUAAAAAAAACCACCGCACAGGAGAUGGAAAUACAGAGCGCUAGCAUGAAGGAUCAAGAUCCGGUGGCUGCUGAUGAUGACGGUGUUCAUUGAUCGUCAUCAAUCAUCAUCGCUGUCGAUGGUGGCGCUCCGAUGCUCCAAUCGACGUAUGCUCAGGUUUAUGCUUUUGAUUCAUGUUGUGUUCGUAUGAGAAAAAAGGAGUAUCAAUUUUUGAAGUGUUCGUAUGAGGAGAAAGGAGUAUCAAUUUUUUAUACCGUCACAGGUCUAUCGUUGAGUAGCAGUUUACAGUGACGAGAAACACAAAUUUGCAGAUGGAGUAAUUUUCGCCCUUGACCGAUGGAGAAUUGGUACCUACGUCUUCGCCGUGUCGUUAUCAUCUAUGUUUCAUAGUUUGAAGACAAUAAAUUGUAAAAAUAGGUUGUGGUAGUGCGAGCAAGGGUGGUGAUGUUGGCACUAGAAUGCGAGCACACACUUUAUAUGAUUGUGAGAUGUACCAGGGUACCACAUCGACCACCCAAUUUUGCGAGUAACGAUGCGCCAUAAUUUCAGUAUUUAUCGAUUAAGCAUACAACCAUUCCGGCUAGAAGACGGAAUUAAUUAGCUUUUAGGUUGCUCAUUUUGACCCGUUUAAAGACGGCCUUUUUUCUGGUUGAUCCAUAUAAAAACGCGUUGGCCAUUUAACCCGUUUAAGUGUUUUUUCCUUACUAUUUAAAUAAAUUCUAUUAUUUCUCGGUUUACUAUAAAAAAGUUCUUAUCUUUUCCUUUUCUAAGUGUUCGCACACAAUAAUUAGGGCUACUCACAACGCUGCUAGACAUCGAUGUUUUGAAAGCUUAUUUGACAUCAAAUCUUUUUUUGCUGAACAGACCUUCGAUUUUGAUCACUAUUGUUUCCUUAUCCGCCCUUGGAUGUGUGACUGAUCAGCGAUUCCAACAACUUUGCCAGUUCAUGCUUUAGCCUUUUGGUCAUGGAUAAUACUAUUAUUCUUUGGUAACUAUGCAAGCAUGGAUGGAUAUAAAAUGUCUACUUACAACUUCUCUCGCUUCACUGGCUCGGUGUUCUCCAUCAUUGUGCCGGCAUUCUCCAUCGCGGACGCACCAGAACCACAUUUCACCAGAUUGGUGCAUCAAAGAAUUAAUUAGACUUUCUCAGUACAAGACCCUGUCGAUUAAGGUAACCACGGGAUUUAUUGUACCCAUAUAGAAUGAGAGUGUAAGAAAACAUGUGUUCUUUAAAAAUACAUUUGGCAUGUGUUGUUACACCAAGAAUUAUUCGGUUUAACGUGAUAGUGGUAUGAGUUGUAAUGUAAAA